RNAcentral lists this ribosomal RNA (253 nucleotides) under uncultured bacterium. RNAcentral's name for it is "partial 16S ribosomal RNA". It matches the Rfam family "Bacterial small subunit ribosomal RNA", at positions 524 to 776 of the family's 1533-position model. The record is from RNAcentral.
GACGAACCGAGCGAACGUUGUUCGGAAUCACUGGACUUAAAGGGCGCGUAGGCGGGCUGCCGCGUCCGGGGUGAAAUCCCACGGCUCAACCGUGGAACGGCCUCGGAUACGGGCGGCCUCGAGGGGGGUAGGGGCAUCUGGAACUGUGAGUGGAGCGGUGAAAUGCGUUGAUAUUCACAGGAACUCCGGUGGCGAAGGCGAGGUGCUGGACCCCAUCUGACGCUGAGGCGCGAAAGCCAGGGGAGCAAACGGG